UACGUAGGGGGCGAGCGUUGUCCGGAGUUACUGGGCGUAAAGCGCACGCAGGCGGUCUGCUAAGUUUGGAGUGACAGUUGGUGGCUUAACUGCCAAAGUGCUUCGAAAACUGACAGACUUGAGGGCUUCAGAGGGACACGGAAUUCCGGGUGGAGUGGUGAAAUGCGUAGAGAUCCGGAGGAACACCAAAGGCGAAGGCAGUGUCCUGGGGAGUACCUGACGCUCAGGUGCGAAAGCCAGGGGAGCGAACGGGG
Molecule: ribosomal RNA, 254 nt
Filed under: uncultured bacterium
Lineage: Bacteria
Description: partial 16S ribosomal RNA
Rfam family: Bacterial small subunit ribosomal RNA
Source: RNAcentral